This 320-nucleotide long non-coding RNA is filed under the name Salvia miltiorrhiza (redroot sage). RNAcentral describes it as "long non-coding RNA (SMIL_LNC012140)". The record is from RNAcentral. Lineage: Eukaryota; Viridiplantae; Streptophyta; Magnoliopsida; Lamiales; Lamiaceae.
CUUAAAAUAGAUUUUUAAAUAGGGACAUAAUAGGCAAACCAAAUUUUGUAAAACAAGGCUCUUUUAUAAUAGGUAUAGAUUAUUGUCCAAAUUCAUUUAUUCUACCAUCCCAAAAAACACAUAUCCAUCCACUAUCAAGGGCUCUAAUAUAUCCCUUCAUUUUCACUCUUUAGGUGUGUGAACUUGGUUCAAUUAACUAUUGUUGGUCUUUUUCAUUGUAACCUAAAAUAUAGCUUGUAGUAGUAGUAGUAAAAUAUAUUCCUUAUUUUUGGUCACUUUCCUUGGCAGCAAGCUAUUGUAGUAGUAGUGUUAUUUAGUGU